UCGUAACAAGGUUUCCGUAGGUGAACCUGCGGAAGGAUCAUUACCGAGUGCGGGUCCUCGUGGCCCAACCUCCCACCCGUGACUAUUGUACCUUGUUGCUUCGGCGGGCCCGCCAGCCCUGCUGGCCGCCGGGGGGCGUCUCGCCCCCGGGCCCGUGCCCGCCGGAGACCCCAACAUGAACCCUGUUCUGAAAGCUUGCAGUCUGAGUGUGAUUCUUUGCAAUCAGUUAAAACUUUCAACAAUGGAUCUCUUGGUUCCGGCAUCGAUGAAGAACGCAGCGAAAUGCGAUAACUAAUGUGAAUUGCAGAAUUCAGUGAAUCAUCGAGUCUUUGAACGCACAUUGCGCCCCCUGGUAUUCCGGGGGGCAUGCCUGUCCGAGCGUCAUUGCUGCCCUCAAGCCCGGCUUGUGUGUUGGGUCCUCGUCCCCCGGCUCCGGGGGACGGGCCCGAAAGGCAGCGGCGGCACCGCGUCCGGUCCUCGAGCGUAUGGGGCUUUGUCUUCCGCUCUGCAGGCCCGGCCGGCGCCCGCCGGCGCAAUUUUUUGCAACCUUUUAUUUUUCCAGGUUGACCUCGGAUCAGGUAGGGAUACCCGCUGAACUUAAGCAUAUCAAUAA
RNAcentral lists this unclassified non-coding RNA (613 nucleotides) under Aspergillus aureoterreus. RNAcentral describes it as "sequence contains 18S rRNA gene, ITS1, 5.8S rRNA gene, ITS2, 28S rRNA gene". The stretch from base 231 to 384 matches the Rfam family "5.8S ribosomal RNA". The record is from RNAcentral. Lineage: Eukaryota; Fungi; Ascomycota; Eurotiomycetes; Eurotiales; Aspergillaceae.